Molecule: ribosomal RNA, 406 nt
Filed under: uncultured bacterium
Lineage: Bacteria
Description: partial 16S ribosomal RNA
Rfam family: Bacterial small subunit ribosomal RNA
Source: RNAcentral
AUUGAACGCUGGCGGCAGGCCUAACACAUGCAAGUCGAACGAGUGGCGGACGGGUGAGUAAUGUCUGGGAAACUGCCUGAUGGAGGGGGAUAACUACUGGAAACGGUAGCUACUACCGCAUACCAUCAGAUGUGCCCAUAUGGGAUUAGCUAGUUGGUGGGGUAACGGCUCACCAAGGCGACGAUCCCUAGCUGGUCUGAGAGGAUGACCAGCGAAACUGGAACUGAGACAGGGACAAGAGUCCUACGGGAGGCAGCAGUGGGGAAUAGUGGACAAUGGGGGCAAGGCUGAUGCAGCCAUGCCGCGUGUAUGAAGAAGGCCUUCGGGUUGUAAAGUACUUUCAGCGGGGAGGCGGUACCCGCAGAAGAAGCACCGGCUAACUACGUGCCAGCAGCCGCGGUAAUUC